This 253-nucleotide ribosomal RNA is filed under the name uncultured bacterium. RNAcentral describes it as "partial 16S ribosomal RNA". It matches the Rfam family "Bacterial small subunit ribosomal RNA", at positions 524 to 776 of the family's 1533-position model. The record is from RNAcentral.
UACGAAGGGGGCUAGCGUUGUUCGGAUAUACUGGGCGUAAAGCGCACGUAGGCGGCGUCGUAAGUCAGGGGUGAAAUCCCGGAGCUCAACUCCGGAACUGCCCUUGAAACUGCAAUGCUAGAAUCUUGGAGAGGCGAGUGGAAUUCCGAGUGUAGAGGUGAAAUUCGUAGAUAUUCGGAAGAACACCAGUGGCGAAGGCGACUCGCUGGACAAGUAUUGACGCUGAGGUGCGAAAGCGUGGGGAGCAAACAGG